GACGAACGCUGGCGGCGUGCUUAACACAUGCAAGUCGAACGGAAAGGCCCUGCUUUUGUGGGGUGCUCGAGUGGCGAACGGGUGAGUAACACGUGAGUAACCUGCCCUUGACUUUGGGAUAACUUCAGGAAACUGGGGCUAAUACCGGAUAGGAGCUCCUGCUGCAUGGUGGGGGUUGGAAAGUUUCGGCGGUUGGGGAUGGACUCGCGGCUUAUCAGCUUGUUGGUGGGGUAGUGGCUUACCAAGGCUUUGACGGGUAGCCGGCCUGAGAGGGUGACCGGCCAAAUUGGGAAUGAGAUACGGCCCAGACUACUACGGGAGGCAGCAGUGGGGAAUAUUGCACAAUGGGCGGAAGCCUGAUGCAGCAAAGCCGCGUGCGGGAUGACGGCCUUCGGGUUGUAAACCGCUUUCGCCUGUGACGAAGCGUGAGUGACGGUAAUGGGUAAAGAAGCACCGGCUAACUACGUG
RNAcentral lists this ribosomal RNA (468 nucleotides) under uncultured bacterium. Its description in RNAcentral is "partial 16S ribosomal RNA". It matches the Rfam family "Bacterial small subunit ribosomal RNA", at positions 28 to 507 of the family's 1533-position model. The record is from RNAcentral.